Molecule: RNA transcript, 2298 nt
Organism: Xenopus laevis (African clawed frog)
Lineage: Eukaryota; Metazoa; Chordata; Amphibia; Anura; Pipidae
Gene: casp10.S
Gene name: caspase 10 S homeolog
Exons: 12
Source: RefSeq, marked provisional
ACAUCCGCCCUCCCUGCUGCCUGUGACGUAGAAACGAGUCAGAGCAGCGACGUGUGGGGGGAGGAGUCGCCACCAGGAAUUUCCAGUUUACUUUCAACUUGUGACACAGUGGGCUUUCAGACUUGUGUAGGGGAAAACAACUCUCACAUGACGUGAAGUUUCCUUUUAAGUUAUCAACUAUCCUGACCUGACUACACAGCUUUUUGUUUGUGUUCUGUUUCAUGUCGGUGGAGCUUACAUACAGCCUGCACAUCUGCACUUUUCAAGAUGGAUUUCAAUUCCAUGCUUCUCCGUAUUGAUGAUGGAUUAGGAAGAGAAGAUAUAGAGGCUUUAAAAUUCCUCUGCAGGGAUGUCCUAAGGAAAAAUAAAUUGUUAUCUGUUCAGUCUGGCCAUGAACUUUUUCAGCAACUCAUGACUGAAGAUUUAAUAAAUGAGGAUAAUUAUUUUCUGUUGGGGGAACUUUUAUACAUUAUUAAUCACCACAGCCUUCUCCAUGAUCUUGGCACAAAUAAAGUGGAAGUGCAGAAAGCUCUUCCACAUCACUGGAAAAUAUCACCUUAUAGGCAAAUGCUUUAUGAACUUUCAGAAAAUGUAACUGGAGAAGAUGAAAAGCGUAUACUGUUCAUACUGCCUCUUCAGAAAAAGCAUAAAGAGAACAAGACCUUUCUGGAUGUGUUGUGUCAACUGGAAAAAGAGAACGCCAUUACAGAAGAUAAUGUGAAACUCCUGGAAGAAGUCUUCAGAAAGGUUUCACCUGAUCUAUUGAAAAUAAUUGAAAAAUACAAGGAACGAGGAGAUAAAUUACACCGCCCAGAAAUUGGCUUGAUGCAACCAUCUGCUCCUCCAGACUAUGAGCAUGAAUUAAUAAACCCACAUCUCUCUAUCCAGGUUUCAAGCAAAGAUAAUGAAUCUUGGGAUGAAGGAAUAGAGAGUCUGAUAGAGCAUAAUGGAACAAUACUUGGAGAGGCUGAAAAGGAAGAUGACGAAUCAGGAAACAUUGACCAUCAGCUCUCUGAUCUCAGACUGAAUCCUGAAGUUACACCACAAGCAAGCUUACAGAUGGAAUUGUAUCACAUGAAUCACAAACAUCGAGGUUAUUGCUUGAUUAUUGAUAAUUCCAUUUUCAUGAAGGGUAAAAGAAGAGAAGGGUCAGACAAAGAUGCUGGUGCCCUGAGUGAUGUAUUUUCAUGGCUUGGAUUGGAAGUGGAAAUUGUGAAAAAUCUAGGGACAGAACAGAUUCGUGGUUGUUUAAAGAGGUUUAAAUCCAAAGACCACAGUGAAAGAGACUGUUUUGUUUGCUGUAUUUUGACACAUGGGGAAUCAGGAACAGUUAUGGGAAGUGAUGAUAAAGAAGUAUCCAUCCGUGAAGUUAUGUCCUAUUUCACAGCGACAAGCUGCAUAUCUCUAGCUCUAAAACCAAAGCUGUUUUUUAUACAAGCCUGUCAAGGGAUAUAUACACACCCUUCAUCAAAAGUAGAACCUGAUGCAUCAGUUCCUGUAGAACACAAAAAGUAUAUUGUGAAUGUUCCAAAGGAGGCUGAUUUCCUACUAGGGAUGUCUACAGUUGAUGGUUAUGCUGCAUACCGCCACAAAAAAUAUGGCUCAUGGUACAUUCAGGCCCUUUGCAAGAACCUUGUAGAAAUGGUUCCAAGGGGUGAAGAUAUUCUGUCUAUUCUCACAAAGGUCAACAAAGAUGUUAGCCUAAAGGAAGACAGUGAACAGAAAUUAAAGCAGAUGCCCCAGCCGGCUUAUACUCUGCUGAAGAAACUUAUAUUCCCUGUACCCGAUGUUCCUUUUAGGUCCACAACUUGUCAAGAAAACAGUCCAUAAUCAAUUUAAAUUAUAUUCCGAUGCUUGGAACUAUACAUUGAUGCAAAAGUAACUUUAGCAGCCAUUGUAUUUUCAAUCAUGCGGGGGCGGAUAACUUUUAAAGUCUCUAACCUCAGGGAAAUGCAACUGUCGCAUGUAUUAGUAGGCACUGCAUUCAAUUCUUCCCGAAGAACAUCAUGACAAUUGCUGCAUAUCACACUUAACUCAUAAGGAAAAUUGAUGAUCUCUUUUAUCUGUUAAAGUACUUGAAAGUAGUACUGCUACUUUGUCACUUUUUGAGACAUGUAGUAUUGCCCGACACAGUACAUUUUCUAUUGGCUGCCAAUGGUCAGCACAGCUGGGUAUGAUAUGUGCUACUAUAUUCUGCAGGUGUUAUUAGAGAUAGUCCCUAUGAGAAACCGAGAACAGCAGUGCAACAUGACAGGAAGCAGUUGUAACACGGAAGAAGUUCCAGUAAGAACGAGAACU